UGCGUACUAUUAGCUAGUUGGUGGGGUAAAGGCCUACCAAGGCGAUGAUGGUUAACCGGCCUGAGAGGGUGUUCGGUCACACUGGAACUGAGAUACGGUCCAGACUCCUACGGGAGGCAGCAGUGAGGAAUAUUGCGCAAUGGGCGAAAGCCUGACGCAGCGACGCCGCGUGGAGGAUGAAGGUCUUCGGAUUGUAAACUUCUGUUAAGUGGGAAGAAAGGGCUGCUUUUAAUAGAAGCAGUUAAUGACGGUACCAUUAAAGAAAGCACCGGCUAAACUCGUGCCAGCAGCCGCGGUAAUACGAGUGGUGCAAGCGUUAUUCGGAAUAAUUGGGCGUACAGGGUGUGUAGGCGGUAUGUUAAGUCUGUUGUUAAAGACUCCGGCCUAACCGGAGACAGGCAGCGGAAACUGGCGUACUAGAGGGUGGAAGAGAGAAGUGGAAUUCUCGGUGUAGCGGUAAAAUGCGUAGAUAUCGAGAGGAGCACCGAUGGCGAAGGCAGCUUCUUGGUCCAUACCUGACGCUGAAACACGAAAGCGUGGGGAGCAAACAGGAUUAGAUACCCUGGUAGUCCACGCUGUAAACGAUGAUCACUAGACGUUGGUUCUGUUUUACAGAAUCAGUGUCGCAGCUAACGCG
Molecule: ribosomal RNA, 637 nt
Filed under: uncultured bacterium
Lineage: Bacteria
Description: bacterial SSU rRNA
Rfam family: Bacterial small subunit ribosomal RNA
Source: RNAcentral